CCAGAGGUGGUUCAAUGGUAGAAUUCUCUCCUUCCAUGUGGGAGACCAGGGUUUGAUUCCCAGCCAAUGCA
This is a transfer RNA of Loxodonta africana (African savanna elephant), 71 nucleotides long. It matches the Rfam family "tRNA". From Rfam's summary of the family: Transfer RNA (tRNA) molecules are approximately 80 nucleotides in length. Their secondary structure includes four short double-helical elements and three loops (D, anti-codon, and T loops). Further hydrogen bonds mediate the characteristic L-shaped molecular structure. tRNAs have two regions of fundamental functional importance: the anti-codon, which is responsible for specific mRNA codon recognition, and the 3' end, to which the tRNAs corresponding amino acid is attached (by aminoacyl-tRNA synthetases). tRNAs cope with the degeneracy of the genetic code in two manners: having more than one tRNA (with a specific anti-codon) for a particular amino acid; and 'wobble' base-pairing, i.e. permitting non-standard base-pairing at the 3rd anti-codon position. NCBI's taxonomy places the organism in Eukaryota, Metazoa, Chordata, Mammalia, Proboscidea, Elephantidae. The record is from Rfam.